Non-coding RNA from Paramuricea clavata, 721 nucleotides. The record is from the annotation of a GenBank genome assembly. Lineage: Eukaryota; Metazoa; Cnidaria; Anthozoa; Malacalcyonacea; Plexauridae.
CAGAUUUGUCUUCUAGGUCGGUGGAAAACGAAUGCAUUUCAAAAGUAUAUUCGAGUUUCAUCUCUUUCAACGACUGCUUCAUUAUCUGAGUAACACAAUCCUUCCAAACCGGGCGACAAUGUUGCGGGGUGUUGUCGCUUGGUCCGUUGCAUCGUAUAUUUGGUGGUCCAGAGGGCCUGCCUAGCAGGGGCGGACAUCUCUUCUUGAUCACCAGAUAUAUUAAUGUUCAUUAGUAAUUAUUCACUUAAACUGUUAUUUCUGACUAUUUUAUUCCUUUCUGUGUGUUAACAACAGUUAGCAGGGGCGACUGUUAAAUGUUUAGUGGUUGUGUUAACAACAGUCAGCAGGGGCGACUGUUAGAUGUUUAGUAUUGAAGGGCUCUAUUUACAACAUUAUGCUACUACUCAUAGUGGUUUCGCAGAGGCGACUGCUUUCGAUCGGCCUACACUACAGUUAACAGGGGUUACUGCGGUGUACUUUGACUCGCUAUAAAACAUUAUUAAAAUUAAAUGUUCUUUGCUAGUGGUGUUGCGUUUUCCUCGGGUGGGGAGACUCCGCGAUUUACGUUCGACUGACUUCAAUUGCGUAGUCUUUGGCGUGUAGUCCUGCCACCUUUACUGGCAAUGAACAUUAACAGACUCAAGUUAUUAACUCAAAUUAUCAAUUUUAAUGAUUUUAUGAUAUUUCUAAUUAAAUGACGAGAUUUUAAAUAAAGCGGCUG